This 236-nucleotide unclassified non-coding RNA is filed under the name Phylloporus sp. RNAcentral describes it as "partial contains small subunit ribosomal RNA and internal transcribed spacer 1". The stretch from base 1 to 46 matches the Rfam family "Eukaryotic small subunit ribosomal RNA", at positions 1786 to 1831 of the family's 1831-position model. Lineage: Eukaryota; Fungi; Basidiomycota; Agaricomycetes; Boletales; Boletaceae. The record is from RNAcentral.
AAGUCGUAACAAGGUUUCCGUAGGUGAACCUGCGGAAGGACCAUUAACACGUAUCCACGUACCAACCCUAGUGUCACGAGUGCGCGCCUAGCGCGUGCUCAGUUUUCUUUUUCACCUUCCACAAUGAAUUUUAACCACUUGAACCCAUCAGACUAAACUAUUUCGUGCUUUUUGCGGAAAAGCCGGAACAAUAAAAUAACAAGAAACAACUCUUAGCGACGGAUUUCUUGGCUCCC